UAAGAAGCCUUUGUUUCUGCCAUUAAAUGAGCAGUCUCACUGAAGCUGUUCUCAGCAGGCUCACAGCCACCUGGGGUCUAUUCUGCUCCCAGCUUCCCAACUUAGGAUCUGCCAGCUGUGAUUCUCAGCCAAUCAUGAGGAUACAGGUGGAGAAGCAGAGCCUGACCAGCACAUGGUAGCCAGAGAGACUUCCAACUGUGGCAGGAGGGGUGUAGGCUAAAUCAGUAGCCAAUAAGGAUCCCCUUAGAUGACAAGCUAUCCUGAGGCCACCCACUCUCUCCCCACUCCUCAGUGGCUGCUUUAAGAGGAAGAGCCCUGUGUCCCAUGUGGCGAACCCAUGCCUGACAGAGAACAUGAAGGAGGAACAUGUAUACUUCUGCCCAUCACACUGCCUGUUUUGGUUGUUUGAACAACCCCAUAUCUCAUAUUCAUUUCUUUAAAAACUUAGACUUCUGCAGUAUGCCUGUCCAGGAGGAUGUCUGCCAAGUCGCCAGUAUGAGAGGCAAUUAGUUCCAAGGUGACAAUGUGCUGAAUACCUUCGUUUGCCAUCUUCAUUUGGGUGACUUGUUUGAAAACAGAGACUCAUUGUUCCCAUCUAUGGCCUAUUCCUGUGUGAGACAGGCUUCCGCUGCAUGAUGUCCAAACACCUCUGUGAACCCCACUUUCAGUUCCUGUGUGAUGUCUACUUGCUUGCUGUAGGUUUUCCAACGUUCUCUGAAGAGAUCUUUAGAAUACUGCCAAGUCCUGAAUCAGACCUUUCCAAAGCAUACCCACUCAGUUUUGUGCACAUCUAUGCAAACAUUUGCAGCUAUAUUCAGGAAAAAAAAAAAAAAAAGAUGUGUUUUAGAGCAUUAGUGGUUUUUGCUGGUGGCCUGGCCUCCUCUUUCACAGGAAGGGAAGAGAAAAAGAUCUGCUGAGCUCUUUCCAUUCAGGAUCCCAGCUUUGUCUCAGCAGUUUUCCAGAACCCUGGUGCCAGCUCACUUUGCACGUAGAAAACUCAGAAAAAUGAAAUGGUUCAAGGCUCUGAACUAAGCUCUCACCAGGGUCUCAUGUUCAAGGCUGCCAAGGGAUGUGUACCCUUAAGGGCGUUUCCCCACCUCCUUGGAUCAACCUCAUCCAGAACAACUAACGAAGACAGUAAAACGACUUAUCCCGUGUCUGGAAAGAAAAGAAAACCUGUCAACCUUCCAAGCACAAGAGAAAUAGCGUCGGUAAUAAAUUGCUUCUAGAGCAGUACAUGAGGUAGACUGUAAAAUACAAAUAAGUUAAUGAUUGUGCUUAAAUAGUAAAGGGAAGCGCAGACAUUUAUCACAGUCCCUUUUUAAAUGAGGGUUCUAUUCAGUAUUUUGAAGUGUUCAUUCACACAUCUGCUCCACAUCUGUAGUCUGUCUACAGUAUUAUGUCUGGUGGCAAUGAUGAAAUCACAUGAUCUCUCUCUAUUGAAAGGUGAAUCUAAGAGGCCUUUCUUCUGGGCAUGAUGUUACGAAACAAGCGGGUAAGGAAAGAGGAUCUGAGAAUAGCAGAGGCCCGAGUAUCUGGAGAGAAACUACAUAACACUGUAGACAGUCCAGAGGUAUUCCAGGAAACAGCUUAGGACAGACUCUAAGAUAAAUACGUUUCUCUGUUAUCAUGUUAUGGGUGAAGGUUAGACAGCAUUCCAUCAUCGGUAUGUAAACGGUUUUAUCUAUAAUUGAUCGGUUCACUAACACCACCAGGAUUUUUCUUAAAUCCUCUUCUGUCCAGUUCUGUUUUAACUUGUGAGAGGAUAAACUCUAUCAUGUUUGUUCAAGUUGAACAAUGAGUUAAAGAACUAUCAGGUUUCAGAAUUGGAUGUAGACCCAACCUAUAGGAUCCGGCAAAAUGUCUCUUUGCCCUUUCUCCAUAACGUCUAAAUCUACAUUAUAUUCUGAUCAUGAAGCUCCUGGACCACAUUGAUCUCCUUAUCUUAGUGCCCAGAACUUUAGGGUGUUCAGUGAUACAGAAAAGGAAAAUGGCAGCUGUGGGAGGAAGUAAGGUUGCUAACCACUCACCAUGAGACUGGGAACAGUCACAAGGGUGUCCAUACGUAAGAAGCUGAGACAAAGGAGAGAGGGUCAAAAUGAUGAGAGACAAAGCAAUCGCUGGACUGGAAAACAGGGAGGGGUCUCCUACGUUGAGUGUAGGCACACCAUAAAACCCUAGCAAGGCAAGAAAAGAGUCCUGUUAUCAUUAUGUUAUUAGCUCAGUGAGAAACCAUUCAGACUCAGGACCUUUAGAAUUUUAAGAUAUUUAAAUUUUCUAUUAUUUUUGAAGCCACUGAGUUCAUAGCCACUUGGUAUAGCAAGCAUAGGAGGCUAUCCAGUAUUCUGUUCUAUGAACCAGUUAUAAAGUAUGGGUAAUCGGAUUGGUAGUGAUACAUGUAUUGGAGUGGGGGAAAUAGGGGAUACAUGUAUUUUAGAUAUUUAUAAAAAUAUAUUUCUGGUACCUAGAAGAAGUUUUAAUGCAGCUAAACUCUGAGGAGUUUUGUUUUGCUUUGCUUAUUAAAGGAAAUAGAGUCCAGACAAAAGUGUAUGCUGUCAAUCCUAGCAAAGAUGGGCCGAUCUCUGUAAGUUUAAGGUCAGCCUGGUCUACAUAGCAAAUUCCAGACUAGCUUGCUCUAUAUACUGAGUUCUAGAUCAGUCAGGGCUAUACAGUGAUCCCUUGUCAAAAAAUAAAAAAAUAAAAUACUAGUGGUUCAUUAUAA
This is a long non-coding RNA of Mus musculus (house mouse), 2722 nucleotides long. RefSeq annotates it as predicted gene, 39660. The transcript is spliced from 3 exons. The record is from RefSeq and is a predicted model, not a curated record. NCBI's taxonomy places the organism in Eukaryota, Metazoa, Chordata, Mammalia, Rodentia, Muridae.